Molecule: ribosomal RNA, 301 nt
Filed under: uncultured bacterium
Lineage: Bacteria
Description: partial 16S ribosomal RNA
Rfam family: Bacterial small subunit ribosomal RNA
Source: RNAcentral
CAGUCGCCGCGGGAAUACAGAGGGUGCAAGCGUUAAUCGGAUUUACUGGGCGUAAAGCGUGCGUAGGCGGCUUUUUAAGUCGGAUGUGAAAUCCCUGAGCUUAACUUAGGAAUUGCAUUCGAUACUGGGAAGCUAGAGUAUGGGAGAGGAUGGUAGAAUUCCAGGUGUAGCGGUGAAAUGCGUAGAGAUCUGGAGGAAUACCGAUGGCGAAGGCAGCCAUCUGGCCUAAUACUGACGCUGAGGUACGAAAGCAUGGGGAGCAAACAGGAUUAGAUACCCGUGUAGUCCCUGUCUCUUAUAC